RNAcentral lists this ribosomal RNA (301 nucleotides) under uncultured bacterium. RNAcentral's name for it is "partial 16S ribosomal RNA". It matches the Rfam family "Bacterial small subunit ribosomal RNA", at positions 509 to 808 of the family's 1533-position model. The record is from RNAcentral.
CAGCGCCACGGUAAUACGUAGGGUGCAAGCGUUAAUCGGAUUUACUGGGCGUAAAGAGCGCGUAGGUGGUUAUGUAAGUGAGAUGUGAAAUCCCCGGGCUCAACCUGGGAACUGCAUCUUAUACUGCGUAGCUGGAGUGCAGUAGAGGGUAGUGGAAUUUCCGGUGUAGCGGUGAAAUGCGUAGAUAUCGGAAGGAACACCAGUGGCGAAGGCGGCUACCUGGACUGACACUGACACUGAGGCGCGAAAGCGUGGGGAGCAAACAGGAUUAGAUACCCCCGUAGUCCCUGUCUCUUAUACC